AUGGACAACCACGUAGAGCGCCGGCGGCAGAGGCAGAAGCAGAUACUCGAGAAAUUCAGGAAAAUGGAGGCGAAGGUGAGGAUGGCGAUUCCUCAACGGCCCGAAGAGCCGCCAACCAUCUGCGAGGUCCCUCUCACCGAGGACAACGCCCCCACGGUCGUUUGCAUCGGCCCGCUCUUAGUAGACAGCAACCGCAAAACGGCCAGCAUGCUCAGGCUCGAGAAUUACAAGUGGUGCUGCAUCCGCAAACUCAUUGUGGGGCACCACCCAAUCGGAACCUUGGAGUCGACGGACUGGUCGUUGGAGGCACACACGCCAAUGCUUCGCAAGUGCUUCGGCAUGAUGAUUCGCCUGGUGCCGCAAGUUCGUGCCUUCUAUAGCAACAUUUCUUCCUCCAAGGAUACCAAGGGUGGCGUCGACAAUAGCAGGCAAGAGCUGGCGAUCAAGAUGCUGCUCGACGGAUGCUUCGUCCUCCACCGCCUUCUCAAGUAUGCACGGGAAGCAAAUGGUGGCAGUGAUGAUGAUGACUACUGGAACCAGCAUCUCGACCGGUGCUUCGUCUGGGAAACCGUGAAGCACGACCUACUGCUGCUGAGGAACCAGGUUCCCUUCUUCGUCCUUCGGAAGCUAUUCAAGCACCUCAGGAGCAACCCCGACGAGCGCGACGACGUCCUCGUCAAUGGUGGCCUCCAGCUCUUCAGCUCGCUCCGUCCUCGAAGUCUGCACGCCGCGCCCAUUGCCUGCGACGACGUGCACCACCUCCUCCACCUAUUCUACCUGUCCAUCGACCUCCCGCUGUCGUGUUCGCACCAGGACUCCGCCUGCAAGAACGCCGCACUGCCAACAGGGCAAACGUGGUGGGUGCCAUGCGCCAAGGAGCUGGAGGAGGCCGGUGUUCGGCUCUGUGCACGUAAGCAUGGUGCUGUGAGCUUCCUCGACGUGAGGUUCCACGGAGGCAAUCUAGAGAUCCCACCGCUCCAGCUAUUCGACUACAGCGAACCCCUGUUCCGCAACCUAAUCGCAUUCGAGCAGACCAACCCGGCAACGUCGGGCCGCAUCACCGAAUACGCAAUCUUUAUGGACUGCCUCGUCAAGACAAAGGAAGACUUGCACCUCCUCCACCAAAGCGGCGUGCUGGUCAACCACAUGAACGAUGAGAGAGGCGAUACAGCAGUGCAGUUCUUCAGGCGCCUCUGCACGGAGGCGCACACCUCUGCUGACCGCAACUACCUCGCCGGCGUGAUGGAGGAGGUCGUCAGGUACCAUAGAGGAAAGUGCCCCCACUGGCGUGACAUUCCGGUGAGAAACUUCACCAACCCGUGCCCGACCAUGUGGGUCGUUGCCGGUGUGAUCGUGCUCGCCAUGACCGUGUUGCAGUCCUUCUACAAUAUCGAUGGCUAA
Molecule: ribosomal RNA, 1401 nt
Filed under: Triticum aestivum (bread wheat)
Lineage: Eukaryota; Viridiplantae; Streptophyta; Magnoliopsida; Poales; Poaceae
Description: partial small subunit ribosomal RNA
Source: RNAcentral